GCGCUCCUACCCCCGCGCCUGGGUGACGCUGGAGGCCUCGGACCUGGGGGCGCGCCGCUGCUUGUGCCCGUCCGGGGCUGCGGGGUCGCUGGCCGCCGCCAUCGGGCGCGCAGAGCCCAAGCGUUCCUGCCCUCCGAGGGCACGGGCACCGAAGGCACGGGCACCGAGGGCAACGAGCGAGGCAGGGGCAAGGGACCACUGCUCAGGCGUUGCCGCCGCUUCCAACAAAGACAAAAGGACCCCCAGUCUCGCCGUUGUGCCCCCAAGUCGCAAAGUUGCACUUCUAGAGCCCAGAUCAGCCUCCGACAAAAUCCAUCUUCCAGAACAAAGUACCGCUUUCAGGCGCCCUUUGCAGGGCUGAAGGCCAGAGGGCGGAAACGGACACACCCACUCGCCUCUGGCUGCAGCCGGACCCGGGUUCCAAAGUCAGAGAUCCCGGUCCUGCGGUUCCCUACUGCACUGGGGGAGCCCCGGCCGAUUUGGGGAUUUUCUUGGAGCCGGCGCCUCAGGACCCUGGGUUCCACGCCCCUCGGAUGCUUUCUUAUCAGAUGCCACCUUGGCGGGUCGGGGUCCCCCUGGCGGCUGCGCGAGUGCUGCUGAGAACAGAACCGAACCAGACCCAUGGCGAGAACUGCCCACAGUGCCCAGCCCUGGGGAGAGCAGUUUAGGGAACGAGGGUCCAGGGCUUGAAGGGGUCAGAGCUAGGACUGAGGCGGAUUAAGUCACUCAGGGCUCCAAUAAACAAUGCUGAAGUUAAACUCCAAAUGUCACAGUCAAUGUCGGACUGACUUUGCCCCUCCUCCUUGUCUCAUUGAGUGGAAACUGUGCCCUAUUCCUCAAAUAAUACAAUAGUUACCCCCAAUUCAGCAGAGAUAGAGUGAUGACUGUAUACAUGAAGGUCAAUUCAAUAAGUUUCUCGUAUAAUUCUGAAUUACUGAAUAUUCCAACCAACACACUGGCGUAUGCAAAGCACACCAGCCCCCUGCGGUAGUGAUAUGGUAAAUCUGUGUGUUCCUGGAUGUUUUUAAGUGAUAAACUGGAAGGAAAUAUGUUAUUCUGUUGCUGUCUAUUUGUGUAUUUCAGUAUGUGUCUGCUGAUAUCACUUUUGAGAAAAGUCUAUUUCCGGGGUAGAAAAUGUAUGGAGAGGGGGCGGUCUUCCAUACAAAAAUUUCCACAUUAAAAGAAAAUCUUGGAAAUUAGACACGGCAAUGAAGAAAGACUGUAGAAAUGGACUUAUUGGGGGGGCUGGGGUUGUGGCUCAGCGGUAGAACGCUCGCCUCGCACAUGCAGGACCCUGGGUUCGAUCCUCAGCACCACAUAAAAAAGUGAAAUAAAGGUAUUGUGUCCGACUACAACUAAAAUAAAUAAAUAAAUAUUUAAAAAAGAAAUGGGCUUAUUGGGGUAAAAUUUUGCUUUGACUAAAAUAAUUUGCAGAUUACUUUUGAGUAGAAAUCUCACAGCUGAAAUAUUUUUUAAAAAGAAAGGGCAACUUAAUGAGACCCUGACUCAAAAUAUAAAAUAAAAAGAAUUGGGGAUAUGGCUGAGGGAUUGAGUUCCCAGGGUUCAAUCCCUUAUAUCAAAAGAAGGAGGGGACCAAAGAAUUGGGGUGGGGUGGAGAAAUGAGUCACCUCUCUAACCCAUCUGUAGUUUUAGUCUUAGUCCAUGUGCAUCCAGUACUAUUUUGCCCAGAGCCACCUGCUCAACGCUCUUAGGUUUUCUUAUACAUUUGUCAAGAAACCCCUCUAAAGGCACAUGAGUCCACUGGGCUUUCCUACUAGCUGCUGCCACUGCAUUUUAUAAAGUAGUACCCGAAGCCACAUUUCUCCACAAAGAUCCUAAGAAUGGACACUUCCUGGUAACUCUCACUAGUUUAAUGAAUAAUAGGCUCAUAGUGUGCAGAAAAGUCCUUUUGACACCCUCUUUGAAACACGCAGUGAAACACUUACCAUGGCCAUGGAGCCAUUUUAGGCAUUGAGUGGCUUAGCAUUCCUCAAAAAGAGACUGAGGAGGACCAUGAAAAAAGAAAUAAGCAUAUUCUUAUGCCCAGUGGUAGUGAUUUCUCGUUUCUAAACUUAGAUUUCAGUGAUUCAACCAAAAAUAGAAAAAGAAGAAAGAUGGACUAAGUAAGAGAACCAAAAGGAAAUUACUUAAAUUUCUUUAAAAAUGAUGACCAUUAGUCUCAGUGAAGAUUGAGAUAAAAUGUCAUAUAAAUUGAGGAUUAUCUACACUUACAGUAGUCCAAGCAACUCCCAAGAUAUACUUUUAUAGAGUUGAGUGCUCAAUGUAAGCUCAGGUAAAUUAUUUUAUCUUUGCUAAUGGCCAAUAUUUUUCCAUCUGAAAAGAGCCCAGUGAGUGUAAUAUGCCAGUAAUGGAUUUUAAAUUUUAGUUCUACACCCACCUUUGAAAUAAUAGAUGAGAAUCAACUAUUUCCUUUCUCUUACCAUCAAAGCAGCACUGUACUUCACACAUAAUGUGUUUUUGUUGUUGAUGUUGUUUUCUGUAUCUACCUGAGAUGUAUAAGCUUCCACUAGAACAAAUCUAUCUUAGAAAACUGUAUGGUGGAAAGAUGGUGAUCCUCCCUAUCAUUCAAGUUUAACCACCUAAAAUAAAGACUUUGAACCUAAUAUUUCCUAUUUCUUAAGUAGAAGCAAAUUACCUAUUUUUAAAUAUUAUUGAGAAAUUUAUUAAAAUAAUUUAUAAUAUUAAGAUUCUUCUCAUCUAUUACAUAGAUCCUCAACACAUUUAAUUACACACACACACACACACACACACACACACUCCCCAAAUUUGUUUUAAUGGUAUGGUCAAGAAAGAAAGAUUCAUUAUCUUGAGGAAAAAAUGUCAAACUAUGAAGAUCAACAUUCGAAAAUUUGGUACAUUAUAAAUGUUUUCUAAUGGAUGGAAAUAGAAUUUUAAUGAAAUGUGGAAACAUACAUUGGAAUGAAAAUGAGUAUUCUUAAGUAGAUCAGAUAACAAGGCUAAAAGAAAGCCUGUUAGAAAUUGUGUGUGAAAUUAUACCCACUUUUUGCAACAAAUAUAUUCCAUAGUAUCCCCAAAUUUGAGAAGGGGUCCUCAACCAGAAAAUAAAAAUGUCUUCAAUAGGGGAAAUAAUUGGAAUUGUUUGCUUGACUUUUAUCUGAAUUACUUUGCUCCUGCUGUGAAAUAGACUGAUAGUUUUAAAGCCCCUGAGGUUCCUCUGCUGGCAGCCGUGGUUGCUGUUUUAAAGUAGGGGACAAAGAAGAAUAAAGGCAAAACAGAAAAUUAUUUUUCUGAUUUUAUUCUUGAAAUAAGAAAAUAUGUAGAAGGAAUACAAUAAAGAUAAAAGGGUAUUGGAAAUGCAUUUUAAAAUAAGUUAAGAUAAUUUUAUUUCACUGUGAUUUGGAAUAGCAGUUUGUCAUAUUUUUUUCUUUUUGAUUAUGUAUAAUUGGCUAAUAAUGUAGUAGAUGUAGCAGGAGAAAGCUGUUGCUAAUUCUUUUUCUGUUCAUCAAAUGUGCAACUGAGACUGCUAAUCCCUCUCAAAUAGAUGCCUUAUAAUGUUAAGACUGAUGCGGCUACUUAAAUAUUUUAUAAAUUCUGUAUUAACUUCCUGAUGAGAUAAUAAACCUGAUAAGAUUC
Molecule: long non-coding RNA, 3615 nt
Organism: Marmota monax (woodchuck)
Lineage: Eukaryota; Metazoa; Chordata; Mammalia; Rodentia; Sciuridae
Exons: 2
Source: RefSeq, a predicted model, not a curated record